Molecule: transfer RNA, 48 nt
Filed under: Cervus nippon (sika deer)
Lineage: Eukaryota; Metazoa; Chordata; Mammalia; Artiodactyla; Cervidae
Description: partial tRNA-Pro
Source: RNAcentral
GUCAGGGAAUAGUUUAAAUAGAACUUCAGCUUUGGGUGUUGAUAGUGG